This is a non-coding RNA of Xyrichtys novacula (pearly razorfish), 762 nucleotides long. NCBI's taxonomy places the organism in Eukaryota, Metazoa, Chordata, Actinopteri, Labriformes, Labridae. The record is from the annotation of a GenBank genome assembly.
UUACGCACACAAGCACCACUGUGGAGCACUGCGUUUGACUCCUAAAAAGCAGGUAGCUCUGUCUUGGUCCAGCAGCAGGGACGUUGUUGUCCACUCCUGAAAGGGUGUGGGACAUUAUUUGGGCCAGUGCAGUUUUGCAAAAUGUUGCACUGGCGAUUGGAGUGCCGUUGACUGUGCCGGUGCAACGCAAGGACCCGAUGCCCGGAGAACAAUAACGAGGAGAGACUCCACAAAGGUGCUGUACAGAGGAGACAGGACCUUAUCCAUGGAUUCUGACAUGUUAAGUGUUCUGACAUGUUUUUCAGUCAAACUAAAGCCACUGAAGCAAUAAAGCGACUGACCUCAGAGUGUGCUACCAUUAUGAGGGUACAACAAAGCAGAGAGGAAAUCUCCCAGGCUUUUACCUCUCAUGAUGUCACUGAAGGUAAUCUAUUACUUUACAUUUUUGACAUCAAUUAUUCUUAUGAGAACACUUACUAACAUGAUCUGUGAUUUCCUCUCAGGUAGCAAACUGUGGCAUUGUUUAGACACCAGCAUCAUGGAGGCAAGAAGGUCUCAAAAUGUCACUGCAGAUGCUACUGUGGAGGUCUAGUGGUAUCUUUCAGAGCCAAAUAUAGGAAAACUGGAAAACCCUCUGGAGUACUGAGAGACGCAAAAACUACUCUGACCAAAUGUACAAACUUUCACUUGCUUUUUGUGCAUGCCUUGUAAAAGGGUCUUCUCCAAGGCUGGAGAGGUUGUGUCUAAAAAAUUGUAUAAAAC